Molecule: long non-coding RNA, 1800 nt
Organism: Numida meleagris (helmeted guineafowl)
Lineage: Eukaryota; Metazoa; Chordata; Aves; Galliformes; Numididae
Exons: 6
Source: RefSeq, a predicted model, not a curated record
GGUGUCUUGCCUCCCCAUACCACAUGUAGAACUUUGUGGCAUUAUGAUGUCCAGGGGAACUGGGACAGGACCUCAGAGGCAGAUGGACCCGGGUACACACGACCAUGUAGAAUCUGCUCUGGAUCACAAUACAGCUCCACCAAAUCCAGUUUCUGACCUAGGGGAAUGGCCAGCAGCAUAUGCCCAGCAAAAAGCAUUAAUCAAACUUGUUGCCCUCCCUUUUCAAGUAGAACCUUGAGUUAGAAGAUCAAAGUCCUUAAGGCUGGUUCGAAUCAGAUAGGCACCCAUGUCUCAGCUGCUUAAGAGCAAGUUGCGUAAGACACAGUGCCUGAAAUACCUCAGUCUGGAAGCGCCAUCAUUGUGUUCAUGCGAAAAUGAAAACAAAGACAACCGAAGACUGGGGAGACUGAUGAGCCCAGAUAACGCUAAAGUACACACAAACUAACGGAAGCUCCUGCUCUAUUUUGACAUUCUUGGAAAAUCAGAAGACAAAGUGGGCAGAAAAGAGGAACCUGUGGACUACUGCUGUCUGGGCACUUGCAUGAAUGACAAUGACGCCAAAUGUACAGAUAUUAUCAAUUUCCUUCACUGCAACAAAAGGAUCAUCUAUGCAGAAGAUACCUGUUCUAGAAGCCUGAGAACAAUUUCCACACCUGGGAGAUUUGUCAGAUGGUAUCUACAGACAGCUAAGGGGCUACACUGCACUGGCAGCUUAGGGUGAUUCCUGGAGGAAACAUUGUGAGGGACUCACUGCUGGAGGACUGCCCGACUCAACUCUCACUCUUUUUGAUACACCCGAAAAACUGUAGUGGGAGGAGACCUGUGCUGGGAUUGGCAGAGAUGCUCACAAGCAAGGAGUCAGCUGCUGGAAGGGGAGAGAGGUCUUUGCUGUGCAGUACUUCUGUUUCUGUAUGGCACCAGCAUUUAUGAAGAGGUUAGGAAGGACUGCAGAUGCUGUGGAGGAAAAACACCUGAAGAAGUUAGAGCUCUGUAGAGGAACAGCACUUAGAGAUGCUGGUAGAAGUCGGCAGGUGUCAGUAACUGAUUAACGUGUGUCUCUGGAAUGCCCAGAGUCAGAUCUCAUGGUGUAGCUACAUUUUGAAAACGGGAUGAGAAAAUAGAAGUUUUACAGGUCCAUCUUUAGCAAUACACUGUGAAUGCAUCACUCCCCUCCUUCCCAUUUCCCAAAACUGUUUAAUAAAGGCAAGGUUACUGGUGCCACCAGUGCAAGUUCCAGCCAUGGUCUUUCUCCAUACUGGGAAAUGAAGGCUCGAAGGUGGAAAGUUUCCAAAUCACUGCAGAACAUCACUAGAAAUCACCGUUGCUUCAUUUUUUCUUCCUGCUGAGACUUGUCAUCCUUAAAGCUAUGGGGAGGGCUAUUGCAUAAGGCUGGCAUUGUUCAGGCAAGAAAGCUUCCUGACCAUGAUGGCUGCCACUGACACAAUCUGCAGAAGUCUUCACUUGAAAUAUGGCUCAGGAUAUUCUCAUGCAGCUCCCCUAGGCAGCCAGGUUGCUUUAAUUAAUCUUACUACUCUUUGGUGUACAAUGAACCAACAGGAAUUGUAUAGUGCAGUGAGCGGAUCAGGGCUGUGCAAUAAAAAUAAGGGUGCUUUAUCUUAGUCUGUAGUCUUUUUAUGGGGAAAAAACAGUAUUUAUAUUAUUCUGGAAAACUUCUAUAACCUUUGAAGGGAGAGUAAUGGCAUACAGAUUUAAGCUGUUUUGACACAAACACAUAUUCUGCCCUCUUUCCAAAGAUUUUAGUGUGGUUGAACUGGAUGCUUUAGAAAGCUGAAAAGUACC